Molecule: ribosomal RNA, 490 nt
Filed under: uncultured bacterium
Lineage: Bacteria
Description: partial 16S ribosomal RNA
Rfam family: Bacterial small subunit ribosomal RNA
Source: RNAcentral
AUUGAACGCUGGCGGCAUGCCUUACACAUGCAAGUCGAACGGCAGCAUGAUCUAGCUUGCUAGAUUGAUGGCGAGUGGCGAACGGGUGAGUAAUACAUCGGAACGUGCCCUGUAGUGGGGGAUAACUAGUCGAAAGAUUAGCUAAUACCGCAUACGACCUGGGGGUGAAAGUGGGGGACCGCAAGGCCUCAUGCUAUAGGAGCGGCCGAUGUCUGAUUAGCUAGUUGGUGAGGUAAAGGCUCACCAAGGCGACGAUCAGUAGCUGGUCUGAGAGGACGAUCAGCCACACUGGGACUGAGACACGGCCCAGACUCCUACGGGAGGCAGCAGUGGGGAAUUUUGGACAAUGGGCGAAGGCCUGAUCCAGCAAUGCCGCGUGUGUGAAGAAGGCCUUCGGGUUGUAAAGCACUUUUGUCCGGAAAGAAAUGGCUCUGGUUAAUACCUGGGGUCGAUGACGGUACCGGAAGAAUAAGGACCGGCUAACUACGUG